Molecule: long non-coding RNA, 758 nt
Organism: Cyanistes caeruleus (blue tit)
Lineage: Eukaryota; Metazoa; Chordata; Aves; Passeriformes; Paridae
Source: RefSeq, a predicted model, not a curated record
GCCUGUGCUGCCUGUCCCCUGUUUACAUCAGAGCAUGAUCUGUGACUCAGCUCUGGAAAAUCUACUUUCAGAGAAAAACUGAGAGAGCUUUAGCAGCAAAUUCCUCACAAAUGAAAAAGUUUUGUAUUUCAAGUAGCCCAGUUCUACACAGCCAGGGAAAAAGAUCUUGAAGAUAUAUGACAUGAUACUGCCUUAUUUAAUCUUAGAAAGGCUUCCAGGGAAACCUCAAGUAAACAGCAGGCUGAAGAUGUUCAUGAAAGUACUGCGAUAUUGAAAGAGAAUACUGUUGAGAAUUUACAACGUUGUAUUUGAAACAUGUACUUUUGAAAAGAGAGGACAAAAAAAGAAAAAAAAACAAUACCAAAAAUAGAGAUAAAGGAAACUGCCCAGAAGCCAGAAGUACAAUUUGAAAUUUUUGACAGUAGUGAAGAGUCACCCUGUCCCAGCCAGUGUUGUGGAUGAAUCAGAGCCCCACCCCAGACUGCUUGUGCUAAGUCCCCUGCUACUGAAUCAGUCUUGCUUCUGGCAAAAUUGAAGGCAGGGAAGGCAGAUGUGUGCAUGUCUGGCUCUGAGCCCAUCGCCUGUCACAGGCACGCAGAAGGAUGCCAAAGUCUGUCUGUGGGAGAUACACCUUCUCUUCACGAAAUGUAAAACUCUGAAGUUGUGUAAAAGUUGGAUUUUGGAGAGAACAAAUAAAGGAAUGCCUAGGCAUUUGGGAAUCAAGACGUUUCAACAUUUCUGAAGAUUUUAUACUCUGC